Molecule: ribosomal RNA, 389 nt
Filed under: Eukaryota sp.
Lineage: Eukaryota
Description: partial small subunit ribosomal RNA
Rfam family: Eukaryotic small subunit ribosomal RNA
Source: RNAcentral
AUUCCAGCUCCAAUAGCGUAUAUUAAAGUUGUUGCGGUUAAAAAGCUCGUAGUUGGAUUUCUGCUGAGGACGACUGGUCCGCCCCCUGGGUGAGCAUCUGGUUCGGCCUGGGCAUCUUCUUGGGGAACGUAUCUGCACUUGAUUGUGUGGUGCGGUAUCCAGGACUUUUACUUUGAGGAAAUUAGAGUGUUUCAAGCAGGCCCGCGCCUUGAAUACAUUAGCAUGGAAUAAUAAGAUAGGAUCUUGAUACUAUUUUGUUGGUUUGCGUGUCGAGAUAAUGAUGAAUAGGGACAGUUGGGGGGUAUUUGUAUUCCAUAGUCAGAGGUGAAAUUCUUGGAUUUAUGGAAGACAAACUAAUGCGAAAGCAUCUACCAAGGAUGUUUUCAUUG